Long non-coding RNA from Oncorhynchus kisutch (coho salmon), 4493 nucleotides. RefSeq lists it as uncharacterized. Lineage: Eukaryota; Metazoa; Chordata; Actinopteri; Salmoniformes; Salmonidae. The record is from RefSeq and is a predicted model, not a curated record. The transcript has 2 exons.
UAUGAACACUGACCAACCCCCAUUCACUAUGAACACUGACCAACCCCCAUUCACUAUGAACACUGACCAACCCCCAUUCACUAUGAACACUGACCAACCCCCAUUCACUAUGAACACUGACGAAUCCCCAUUCACUAUGAACACUGACCAAUCCCCAAUCCCCAUUCACUAUGAACACUGACCAAUCCCCAAUCCCCAUUCACUAUGAACACUGACCAACCCCCAUUCACUAUGAACACUGACCAACCCCCAUUCACUAUGAACGCUGACCAACCCCCAUUCACUAUGAACGCUGACCAACCCCCAUUCACUAUGAACACUGACCAACCCCCAUUCACUAUGAACACUGACCAACCCCCAUUCACUAUGAACACUGACCAACCCCCAUUCACUAUGAACACUGACCAACCCCCAUUCACUAUGAACACUGACCAACCUCCAUUCACUAUGAACACUGACCAACCCCCAUUCACUAUGAACACUGACCAAUCCCCAUUCACUAUGAACACUGACCAAUCCCCAAUCACUAUGAACACUGACCAACCCCCAUUCACUAUGAACACUGGCCAACCCCCAUUCACUAUGAACACUGACCAACCCCCAUUCACUAUGAACACUGACCAACCCCCAUUCACUAUGAACACUGACCAACCCCCAUUCACUAUGAACACUGACCAACCCCCAUUAGUGAUGUAGGGCGUGUCAGGACACAGAUCAGUGUGUUAGUGAUGUAAGGUGACAGUGUCAGGACACAGAUCAGUGUGUUAGUGAUGUAAGGCGUGUCAGGACACAGAUCAGUGUGUUAGUGAUGUAAGGCGUGUCAGGACACAGAUCAGUGUGUUAGUGAUGUAAGGCGUGUCAGGACACAGAUCAGUGUGUUAGUGAUGUAAGGCGUGUCAGGACACAGAUCAGUGUGUUAGUGAUGUAAGGCGUGUCAGGACACAGAUCAGUGUGUUAGUGAUGUAAGGCGUGUCAGGACACAGAUCAGUGUGUUAGUGAUGUAAGGCGUGUCAGGACACAGAUCAGUGUGUUAGUGACGAUUGAAAACAUUCUGCAGUAGCCAUCAUGACUUCACGUAUCCUCUGUGUGCUAAUAGUGCAAGCUGACAGCCAUAGAUGUUCUGGUUUUUUAUAUAUGAAAUCUAUUAUUGGAAUGUAUUAUUGUUCAGGCAAUGCUUUGGUAGGUGCAAAUAUCACAUUGCCUUUUAUUUCAACAUGAAGUCGCAGAGGGUUUAAAUUAUGUUUUGUAGUCAUUUACAUGCUUAUAUUAUCACACAAAUCACACACACUUCUGCAUGAAUAUGACUUAAAACUAAGGACCACUGAAUCAUUCAUAUAAAGAUGAUUUCAGUGCAGCUACUAAGGUAGGCUUGAAACCACUUGCAUUUAGAAUUAAAGGUACUACGCAUGUUUUAUUUCAAAUUGUAAUUUCACAAAAUGUCCAUAAUAUAUCUGCACCAAUAGUGGAAUGAUAGUGUUUAACAGGAUUACUUAACCGAUAGUGUUGUGAUUGGCUGUGAUAUACAUUUUUUUGUUUUUCUCCCACCAGAGAGGGAAUCUGUUGUAAAAAAGUUGUUUUGACUUUGUGGCUGUGUUAUCUAGUAACAUUCCACUCAAGUGGAAAUUUCCUGGUUGCAAAAAUGCAACACUGUUCGCUCAAUUUCAGUUUAUGUGAGAAAACAAGUACUGAAUAGUGUAGGGAAUCAUUGUACCUUCUAAAUCACUGUGAACUAUCUUUUCAAUAACAAAAAAAAACAUUUUUGAAGCUGGUGGAUCAAAACAGAAAGUUAAAGGCGUCAGUCUCCAUCAUGUUACAGGGAAGUAGAAUGCAGAGAAGGGGGAGAUUUUGUUUUGAAUGCAGCAUAAAGCUGUUGCAGUUCCCCCACCUUCCACACGGGGGAGACAUUCAGAAUGUGGCACCUUUAAGUUCUUCUUCUUAUAUCUGCAUGAACAGACAAACCACUCAUGUUGUCAGCUUUGGCUCAAGGAUCACGCUACUCUAGCUAUAUUUAACAUAACCUCAUAUGCUCUUCAAGGCUACUGCUAUUGUCUGCUUGAGUACUGCAUUUAAUCACCAUUAAGGACUCAAUACACUGUAGAGUGCAUACCUUGUGUAACUACACGUAACAAAAAAUAAUAGUGCACUAGUUAACUAUGUAUAAUGUAUAUAUACUAAUCUACUUCCCUCUCCUUACUGGCCUGAUAUUGACUACACUAUCUAGCUAAGUCCCUCUCCUUACUGGCCUGAUAUUGACUACACUAUCUAGCUAAGUCCCUCACCUUACUGGCCUGAUAUUGACUACACUAUCUAGCUAAGUCCCUCUCCUUACUGGCCUGAUAUUGACUACACUAUCUAGCUAAGUCCCUCUCCUUACUGGCCUGAUAUUGACUACACUAUCUAGCUAAGUCCCUCACCUUACUGGCCUGAUAUUGACUACACUAUCUAGCUAAGUCCCUCUCCUUACUGGCCUGAUAUUGACUACACUAUCUAGCUAAGUCCCUCUCCUUACUGGCCUGAUAUUGACUACACUAUCUAGCUAAGUCCCUCUCCUUACUGGCCUGAUAUUGACUACACUAUCUAGCUAAGUCCCUCUCCUUACUGGCCUGAUAUUGACUACACUAUCUAGCUACCGUACCUCCCCUUACUGGGCUAAACUAGCUGGCUAGCUGAACUUGGCUAGUUUUAGUCCUCAUUGCCAAACAUCAUAUAUACUGCACCCUCAACUUCAAAACUCCUUUGCUAGUUAUUCCAUCGUGUAACUAAGAAAUUCCCUGGAAUAGGAGCUUCAAUUCUUUGUUUUGUUGAAUAGUCGUGAUUGGUUCGAGCUAUCUGUUGUGUGGUAAGAUUACUGUGGCGAAGGAUAUCAUUGCUACUUUACCCGGAUCCAAGUUCAGUUUAGAGAUCCACUGGCGUAGGGUCAGCUGAACGUUCCUGACUGGUCUUGGAACCAUGACAACGGGCAGCCCCUCCCCGCUUGGCUCUGAACGUUUCUGACUGGUCUUGGAACCAUGACAAUGGGCAGCCCCUCCCCGCUUGGCUCUGAACAUUUCUGACUGGUCUUGGAACCAUGACAACGGGCAGCCCCUCCCCGCUUGGCUCUGAACGUUUCUGACUGGUCUUGGAACCAUGACAACGGGCAGCCCCUCCCCACUUGGCUUGAUGGGAUAUGUAGAGAUUUUGCCAACACAGCCAGAUAUGUACAGUCUUGUACCCUUAACCUUUUUUUAAAGCGACUAUUUGUUGAUUAAAUCAGACUUUAUAAAUACCAGGAAUGAACAAGUUAAUUUACGUAAAAAAAGAAUCAUUAUAAAGCAACUGUACAGAGUGUCAAUGGCUACAAUGAAUGGUUAAAUUACUUUCAGGCAUGAAGGAUUAACAGAGCUCCUCCUCGCCUUCUCUAUAGCACUAGUGGAGACAGAGUCCAUGAUUUUUCGAGUCGACUCCUGGUAUCAGAGUCGUUGGAGUCGACUCUCUCUCGACAAUGCUCUAAACCAGGGGUAUUCACAUCUUACCAUACGAAGUCUGGCGCCUGCUGGUUUUCUGUUCUACCUGAUAAUCAAUUGCGCCCAGGUCUCAAUCAGUCCCUGAUUAAAAAACGCAGUGGAACGGGCUUCGGGGUCCAGAGUUGCGUUUGAGGGCUCUAAAUAAUGCUGUGUAACUGACUGUCUAGAAUUCGAACAAUAUUCUACAUUCUAAAAGUUGGCCCAACAGUCUAAAUAUAUGGCUAUGAGACCGAGACAGUGUUAACCAGGUGGUAUUGCAUUACUAUAUUGAUGGUGGUAGACAGUGGUGUGCAGUGGUGGGCUCUUGCAAUGAUGGUAAAACAUCAGCAGGCUACAUUUUGGUUUGAAUAAACAGAAUGGCUUCAACGCUCAGUAAAUGUUUUACACUUACGGCAAGCAAUGUGUCAGAACUUGCAGCAGCAGUAGGCAGCGGCAGUAGUAGUAGUAGGCGGCGGCAGUAGGCGGCGGCAGUAGGCAGCAGCAGUAGGCAGUAGGCGGCAGCAGUAGGCAGUAGGCGGCAGCAGUAGGCAGCAGCAGUAGGCGGCAGCAGCAGUAGGCGGCAGGAUACACUCUUUAUAGCCACUUUCUAUUCUGUGGCACACUUCACCAUUAAUUACUUCUGUUGCUGGUUGACAAUAGUGCUUUAUUUGGUAUGCUGAUAUGUACAGUACUUUCUGUUAGAGGUUUCUUAUUUUCUCAGUUUAUGUUAAAUAUGAUUUUAUAUUACAGCUUUUGUUUACUGUUUGUUUUAUAAUAGUCAUGUUUAUUAUUUUCUUACUUGUAUUUAAAGUAUGUUACUUUAUUGUGUUACUGAUGGGAGAACAGCACAGCAGUGUAUUUGAUGUGAGAACAGUGCCUGAAGCUCAUAGGAACUACUGUAAACCACUGCUUUAGCAUUCUCUACUGCUGUGAAGGACCUUAUAAAACCAUGAGGGAUUUAUUGGUGUGGACUGUGAACAUUAGUGCAAUUAAAAUCACUGUUCAAAUUGA